UACGGGGGGUGCAAGCGUUGUUCGGAAUUACUGGGCGUAAAGGGCUCGUAGGUGGCCAACUAAGUCAGACGUGAAAUCCCUCGGCUUAACCGGGGAACUGCGUCUGAUACUGGAUGGCUUGAGGUUGGGAGAGGGAUGCGGAAUUCCAGGUGUAGCGGUGAAAUGCGUAGAUAUCUGGAGGAACACCGGUGGCGAAGGCGGCAUCCUGGACCAAUUCUGACACUGAGGAGCGAAAGCCAGGGGAGCAAACGGG
This 253-nucleotide ribosomal RNA is filed under the name uncultured bacterium. RNAcentral describes it as "partial 16S ribosomal RNA". It matches the Rfam family "Bacterial small subunit ribosomal RNA", at positions 524 to 776 of the family's 1533-position model. The record is from RNAcentral.